AGCCACGAAAUUGAGGUACGCAGAAGAUGAACAAACCUGAGAACUGAUGAUCCAAAGAAGAGUCGGAGCUCGAGCAUCACAUAGCUGUCAGCUACGGUGGAUUGUAGGCGGAUGUGUCUCAGACCUAUGUUUUUGCCGCUGGACCGUGGUUACGUUCAUCCUAGCUUGGAGGCAACGGUGUGGGUGGGUAUGCAUGUGCAAGGCGAAGAAGUGGACGAAGGCUGAAGAAGCAAUCUCUGCCUCCCUAUCGCUGCGUCCUGCUCCUCAAUAUGUCACCUUAGUCAUGGCCGCCUUAUCCCUCAUGCUGCUGAUUUGAAUCUGCCCUAAUCUUCUUCUCCUAGACUGCUCGAGCGCUUCAGCGGGUGCCUUGCCGACGACAGGGAAGGAAGGACCAGAGUAAGUAUAAUAUGGAAGUUCCUGUUCAAAUUAGUAGAAUAUGCUUACCAGGUGUUAGAAUUUAUAGAUAUAUACCACAAUUUUCACUACAGAUUAAAUAUAAUAUGAAAGUUCUUGUCAGUUUUCUUUGUAGUUAGUUUGCGACAAUCACAACAUGAUCAUUUGAAUAUUUUGUUGUAACAAAUCUAUUAUAGCUAUUGUUGUGAAAGAAAAAUCCUUAAAAAAUCACCCAAUAGCAACCCAAGGAAGUUAAGAGACAUAAAUGAUCAGAAUAUGGUUCCAUUAUGCUCCCUCUGUUCGAUAAUAUAUGACGUUUUCUGGCAGUACACAAUGCCAAAAACGUCUUAUAUUAUGGGACAGAAGCGAGUUUGUGAUUUUUUUGGUUAUUCUUGAUUCCACAUGCUUCAUUUGGGUGAAUAAUCCAUUGGCAUCCAAAUUUGGAGAUUAAUUCACCUAUGUAAUGUGCAUAAUCAAUGACACAUUUUUGCUAUGAUGAAUAUCUAAAUAAAUUUUGUGCAAUUCCAUAAAUACACAGUUAAGCAUUUUUGUUGUAAAGAUAAUGUAGAUAAUUUUUUAUAGCUUUGCAAAUAAGAUUAACCUUGGUGUAUAAAUCCGAUCAGAGUAGAGGUAGCUAUGCAAUGGUCUUGCGUCACAUCAUUAGUCUAAGGCUCUAACCACAUUCAUGCAGAAUCUAACAUCCCAACUACGCAUAUCUGUUUGUUCCAGAAGCCAAGAAAUUGAGGUACGCAGAAGAUGAACAAUCCUGAGAAUUGAUGAUCGAAUGAAGAGUCGGAGCUCGAGCAUCACAUAGCCGUCAGCUAUGGUGGCUUGUGGGCGGAUGUUUCUCAGAACUAAGUUGUUGCCGCUGGACCGUGGUUACAUUCAUCCUAGCUUGGAGGAAAGGUGCGGGAAGAUAUGCAUGUGCAGGGCGAAGAAGUGGACGAAGGCCGAAGUAGCAAUCUCUGCCUCCCUAUCGCUGCGUCCUGCUCCUCAAUAUGUCACCUUAGUCAUGGCCGCCUUAUCCCUCAUGCUGCUGAUUUGAAUCUGCCCUACUCUUCUUCUCCUAGACUGCUCGAGCAGCGGGUGCCUUGCCGACGACAGGGAAGGAAGGACCAGAGUAAGUAUAAUAUGGAAGUUCCUGUUCAAAUUAGUAGAAUAUGCUUACCAGGGGUUAGAAUUUAUAGAUAUAUACCACAAUUUUCACUACAGAUUAAAUAUAAUAUGAAAGUUCUUGUCAGUUUUCUUUGUAGUUAGUUUGCGACAAUCACAACAUGAUCAUUUGAAUAUUUUGUUGUAACAAAUCUAUUAUAGCUAUUGUUGUGAAAGAAAAAUCCUUAAAAAAUCACCCAAUAGCAACCCGAGGAAGUUAAGAGACAUAAAUGAUCCAGAUAUGGUUCCAUUAUGCUCCCUCUGUUUGAUAAUAUAUGACGUUUUCUGGCAGUACACAAUGCCAAAAACGUCUUAUAUUAUGGGACAGAAGCGAGUUUGUGAUUCUUUUGGUUAUUCUUGAUUCCACAUGCUUCAUUUGGGUGAAUAAUCCAUUGGCAUCCAAAUUUGGAGAUUAAUUCACCUAUGUAAUGUGCAUAAUCAAUGACACAUUUUUGCUAUGAUGAAUAUGUAAAUAAAUUUUGUACAAUUCCAUAAAUACACAGUUAAGCAUUUUUGUUGUAAAGAUAAUGUAGAUAAUUUUUUAUAGCUUUGCAAAUAAGAUUAACCUUGGUGUAUAAAUCCGAUCAGAGUAGAGGUAGCUAUGCAAUGGUCUUGCGUCACAUCAUUAGUCUAAGGCUCUAACCACAUUCAUGGAGAAUCUAACAUCCCAACUACGCAUAUCUGUUUGUUCCAGAAGCCACGAAAUUGAGGUACGCAGAAGAUGAACAAACCUGAGAAUUGAUGAUCGAAUGAAGAGUCGGAGCUCGAGCAUCACAUAGNNNNNNNNNNNNNNNNNNNNNNNNNNNNNNNNNNNNNNNNNNNNNNNNNNNNNNNNNNNNNNNNNNNNNNNNNNNNNNNNNNNNNNNNNNNNNNNNNNNNAGUGGACGAAGGCUGAAGAAGCAAUCUCUGCCUCCCUAUCGCUGCGUCCUGCUCCUCAAUAUGUCACCUUAGUCAUGGCCGCCUUAUCCCUCAUGCUGCUG
This 2525-nucleotide long non-coding RNA is filed under the name Triticum aestivum (bread wheat). Its description in RNAcentral is "long non-coding RNA (TAES_LNC014747)". Lineage: Eukaryota; Viridiplantae; Streptophyta; Magnoliopsida; Poales; Poaceae. The record is from RNAcentral.